UACGGGGGGAGCAAGCGUUGUUCGGAUUUACUGGGCGUAAAGGGCGCGUAGGCGGCCAGCACAAGUCAGUUGUGAAAUCUCCGAGCUUAACUCGGAAAGGUCAACUGAUACUGUGCGGCUAGAGUGCGGAAGGGGCAACUGGAAUUCUUGGUGUAGCGGUGAAAUGCGUAGAUAUCGAGAGGAACACCUGCGGCGAAGGCGGGUUGCUGGGCUGACACUGACGCUGAUGCGCGAAAGCGUGGGGAGCAAACAGG
RNAcentral lists this ribosomal RNA (254 nucleotides) under uncultured bacterium. Its description in RNAcentral is "partial 16S ribosomal RNA". It matches the Rfam family "Bacterial small subunit ribosomal RNA", at positions 524 to 776 of the family's 1533-position model. The record is from RNAcentral.